CCUACGGGUGGCAGCAGUCGAGAAUCAUGCACAAUGGGGGAAACCCUGAUGGUGCGACGCCGCGUGGGGGAAUGAAGGUCUUCGGAUUGUAAACCCCAGUCAUGUGGGAGCAAAUUAAAAAGAUAGUACCACAAGAGGAAGAGAAGGAUAACUCUGUGCCAGCAGCCGCGGUAAUACAGAGGUCUCAAGCUGUGUUCGGAAUCACUGGGCGUAAAGCGUGCGUAGGCUGUUUCGUAAGUCGUGUGUGAAAGGCGCGGGCUCAACCCGCGGACGGCACAUGAUACUGCCAGACUAGAGUAAGGGAGGGGGAACCGGAAUUCCCGGUGUAGCAGUGAAAUGCGGAGAUAUCGAGAGGAACACUCGUGGCGAAGGCGGGUUCCUGGACAUUAACUGACGCUGAGGCACGAAGGCCAGGGGAGCGAAAGGGAUUAGAUACCCUAGUAGUC
This 446-nucleotide ribosomal RNA is filed under the name uncultured bacterium. RNAcentral's name for it is "partial 16S ribosomal RNA". It matches the Rfam family "Bacterial small subunit ribosomal RNA", at positions 338 to 795 of the family's 1533-position model. The record is from RNAcentral.